AGGGAAUAUUAGUAAUGGGCGAAAGCCUGAACUAGCAACGCCGCGUGUGCGAAGAAGGCCUUCGGGUUGUAAAGCACUUUUUGAGAGGAUGAGGAAGGACGGUACUCUCAGAAUAAGUCUCGGCUAACUACGUGCCAGCAGCCGCGGUAACACGUAGGAGGCGAACGUUAUCCGGAUUUACUGGGCGUAAAGCGCGUGUAGGUGGUUUGGUAAGUAGGGCGUGAAAGCUCCUGGCUCAACUGGAGAGGCCGUUCUAAACUGCCGAACUAGAGGAUGGUAGAGGGAGGUGGAAUUCCGGGUGUAGCGGUGGAAUGCGCAGAUAUCCGGGGGAACACCAGUGGCGAAAGCGGCCUCCUGGACCAUUCCUGACACUCAGACGCGAAAGCUAGGGUAGCAAACGG
Molecule: ribosomal RNA, 401 nt
Filed under: uncultured bacterium
Lineage: Bacteria
Description: bacterial SSU rRNA
Rfam family: Bacterial small subunit ribosomal RNA
Source: RNAcentral